UGGACAUGAAGUCAGGGUCUUCAACCUGGU
RNAcentral lists this non-coding RNA (30 nucleotides) under Rattus norvegicus (Norway rat). Lineage: Eukaryota; Metazoa; Chordata; Mammalia; Rodentia; Muridae. The record is from RNAcentral.